Long non-coding RNA from Lolium perenne, 3225 nucleotides. RefSeq lists it as uncharacterized. The record is from RefSeq and is a predicted model, not a curated record. NCBI's taxonomy places the organism in Eukaryota, Viridiplantae, Streptophyta, Magnoliopsida, Poales, Poaceae.
ACGCAUUCAUCAAAACGCAAACCCUCCCAUCCUCUCCAGCGCCGCCAGCCCGCCAUCCUCCCCUUCCUCCGUCGCCUCUCUCUGCCAGCGAGCAGCUACACCUCAAGCUCGACAUCCGAUAGUCGUCCGCUCCACAACCCCGUCCCACCUCCACCUCCCCGUCCUCCUCCUCCCCGUCCUCCUCCCCUCCGCAAGACCUCUCCCCGGUCGACUGGGACCGUAGGGUGGGGCUGUAGAGGAAGAGGUCGUGCAGCUCGGAGCUUGCACUGGCGUACGGAGCGGGGGCCGGUGGCUUCGGGAUUUUGGUGUGUCCGAAUGGAGAAUCGAGGAUGGUCACCUCAUCAAGAAAAAGAAAUCGCGGGUUGAUUCAUUCUCCGUUGCCGCUUUGAUGAUUUGAUUCGGAUUCUGAGAUUUUCCUUGAUUACCGCUGGGUCUUUCUUAGUUCUGGUGUUUGGCCAAGUGAUUGGGGAUUGAUAUUGCAAAUCGAACAGAAGAACCAAGAAGGAUGAACUGUCUAGGGGCAUUUGAAGCUGCACGCUCCAAUAACUGAAAAUUGCUGUUUGACAUCUUCUCAAAUUCAAAGCAAUUGGCAUGUCAAAUUACUUCUUAACCAGGUUUGGUUCUAUUCACAUAAUGUCCCUUAUAUUCGUGUUAUGACUUUCGUCGGAUACCUUGGUUUCCUUAUAGUAGUAGCAUCCAUAGAAACAAAAUGAUUCUCACAUGUCGAUUUCAAUAUUGCACCAGAAUACAGGUUUAGUUUUUAAUUCAUGUGUUUUCAGUUUAUUUUUUAUUUUUCUACAUAUGUACAACUUAUGAUGUUAGAGCGCAUUUGUAUUGUACAUGCUUACCUAAGGUCAUAGUAGAUUUCUGUUCUCACAUGCCAGUAAUUGCACAUCAUAUGAUGUUGUGGACUACAUGAUCUAUGUGCGCCCUCCCAUGGAGUUGUGAUAGGAGCAUGGCUUGGUGCUUGGCCUAUGCCCCUUGACUUGGGAGAGACCUUGGCAGCUAAAGAUACUGAUCGUUAUUCGCAUGCAUUAUGUUGUGAACUAUGUAUGCAAAGGGCAAUUACUGUGAAAGGAAAAGGUCAUAUGGAUAUGUUUAUGCAUGUUCCGUAGAUGCUAUACAUUGUCAACUUAAAAACUAGGUUGUGCACUAUUCAGAUCUGCGACACAUGGAUUAGGCUUCCUUUUGUGAUUCUUAUAGUUGACAAUUGUGUCCGUGUCCUUGUAUCUCCGACAGUUGGAUAGCAGCUAUGCUCGAGGUAAUUAAUGCAGAUCUAUUCUGAUUUUUAAUUGUGUCUCUCAUAAGCUUAGGAUAAUUUCAGUACCCUGGCAUUGGUAAAUUACAUUUCUUAUAAACGAGUGAUCUUGAGAAGUUCAUCUCAUCUCGAACGUUUUUAAUGCACUAAACUGAUAGGGCCCAUUUUUAGUUUGCAAGUGUAGCUGGUGUUGGAACAGAACUUGCAUCUUUUUUCCAACAUAUUUGAGUCAUUUCACUUUACAUGUCCUUUUUUAGCACUUUCACUGUACAUGUCUUGUGGACUUGGAGGUGUGAAAUCAUACCUUUGAAUUAAGUUUUUACGGUUCUGAACGCAUACUCUGUACAUGGAAUCAAGUUGUUUCACAUUUUAGUUUUUCUUAUAUUUUCUAGGUUGUGUUCUACUCAUCAGCGGCAGCGUCUGUACUUUUAAAGUGUAUAGACUGCUAUUUUACACGGUACUUCUGUUCUCCAGCCUCUUGAUGUGUUCAUUCCGACAGUCCAUUUAAAAUAAUAUCUUGUCGUGAUAAGUAUUAUUCUUAUCGUGACUUUUUCAUAGGUACGCAUACCCAUUAUGCAGUUACUUUCUCGCAUCUUCUACUACGAUAAUUUGUGCUGGCUGCAAUUGUUUUUAUCUCGCAGUUUUAUUCCUGCUUUUCAGCAGUACAUAACUGAAUGCAGUUGUUUACUCCUAUUUACACAUUUGCUUGUGUUCUAUACUGAGAACCAUCCGCUACUUGCAUACUACUCACAGGUAAUGCUUUUGUGAUGUGGAUAAGCUCAAGUUGAGUUGGAGGCAUAUGCUCAACACUUUUGGUCAUCUAAUGGAAAUACACAACAGAGAAGAGCAAUUGUUCCAAAGUGAAGAUUAUGAGAGCUGUUACUGCCAGUUGGGAGCUCGCCCCAAGAGUACUUCAAAUCCUCCGCAACUGAGACGCUGCAGGUUCUGCUACACUGAGAUGUCUUCUCCCUCCCAGCUGGCAAGAAUUAGCGAGUGCUGAAUGAGAUAGCAGAAAUACUCCAGAAUUAACACUCAUAUUAUUCAAUAUCAGCACGAGAGUUCAUGUUGUGUACAGGAAUUCAGGUUCCCUUUUGCAUCCAGGAUACAAUGUUGAAGAAAUUCAUGGAGUUUUUCUUAUUGCAACGGAAUACAAUAUCAUCUCGCUACGGUCGAAGGCCACCCAAGAACCGCCCGUUCUUUUUUUGGACUAUUUUGCCCUCUCACAAAAUCCCUUUAUACUACCCUGUCAUGGUACCAGUUGUUAUACCCUGUCUCGCUACGGUCGCAGGCCACCCAAGAACCGCCCGUUCAUACUCGACACGCGUGCCAGAAGAGGCGCCGGAGGGCCCAGGCCACUCGAGAACCGCUGGUUCCUGUUCGCCAUGCGCGCGAGAAGGCCAUCCGGGAACGAUGAAGAGCGGGAGCAGGCGGCGUCCUAGCAUGAUGGCAUCGACGGGUGGCUGGAAGGAGGAGAGGCGUGACGAGGGGAUCGAGGAGGGACGAGAUGGAGACGGCAUUUGCCACCCGUUCCUGCUCGCCACACGUGCGAUAAGAGGCAUCGGAGGGUCGUCGACCUCCGGGAACUAUGAACGGAGAGAGCAUGUGGGACGGCAUCGAUAUGGCUGGGAGCUUGACUUGUGAUGCGCGUCGAGGGCGUUGUGUAGGUGUCUGAUGAUUGGGAGCGCCCACAACGAUGGCGGCGGCCGCAGGUUGCUCUCCUCAUGGCGAUGCAAGAAAGGAAGAGCUGGGAGAGAAAUUAGCUGAAGGUCAACAAUGUCUCUCGAUCUGGCAGUCUCUGACUAAACUACAGCCGCAAAGAAUUUUGGAUCCCUUCACUCAUAGUAUUUACUUCUUUGCCCUCUAGGAAGCUAGCUUUGCUAUUGAACUUCAUGUUGGUAUAGCUUUGCUAUUGAACCUCAUGUUGGUAUGGAACCAUUCUCUCAAAUAUAAGUUUCAAUUGUGAACAA